UAAUAAGGUUUAGAAUAUAAAAUUUGAAUUGAGCGCUCAAUGCAAUUGUCCUGACAUGUUGACUCAUUGACGGCUGAUUGAUAACUGAUUGUUCUUGAGCCCGGGGGUGGGAGGAGCUUUCCCUUUUAUAGCGGAACCUCGUGUUUAACGUCUGCUCGAGAAUUCAUCAAAACAAACACCGAGGCUAUGUACGCACUAUGAAAGCACUAUGAAUGUUAAGAUGGCUUGGAAACUUUGCCUUCAAAUUCAUUUAUUCAUUAUUCUGUGGUUAUUCUACUUGGAUCGAAGCCCAGUUCAGGUGUUCUUCUCCUCUAUUCAGAUGCAUAGGAAGGGGCCAAUAAGGAUGCGAGAAACGUCCUAUCUGAUUGAUACAAGCUUCGACAUCCAAUCAACAUGACAAAGAAAGGCUUGAGUGCGACUCAGUCAUAACUUUAAAAAGAAAAUAAACAUAUAUGUUUGAA
Molecule: long non-coding RNA, 461 nt
Organism: Nematostella vectensis (starlet sea anemone)
Lineage: Eukaryota; Metazoa; Cnidaria; Anthozoa; Actiniaria; Edwardsiidae
Exons: 2
Source: RefSeq, a predicted model, not a curated record